CAUGCAAGUCGAGCGAGAAGCUAGCUUCGGUUAGUGGAAAGCGGCGCACGGGUGAGUAACGCGUGGGAAUUUACCUUUUGGUGGGGGACAACAGUUGGAAACGACUGCUAAUACCGCAUAUACCCUACGGGGGAAAGAUUUAUCGCCAAGAGAUGGGCCCGCGUUAGAUUAGGUAGUUGGUAGGGUCAAAGCCUACCAAGCCUACGAUCUAUAGCUGGUUUGAGAGAACGAUCAGCCACACUGGAACUGAGACACGGUCCAGACUCCUACGGGAGGCAGCAGUGGGGAAUCUUGCACAAUGGGCGAAAGCCUGAUGCAGCCAUGCCGCGUGAGUGAGAAGGCCUUCGGGUUGUAAAACUCUUUUAGAUGUGAAGAUGAUGACGGUAACAUCAGAAAAAGCCCCGGCUAACUUCGUGCCAGCAGCCGCGGUAAUACGAAGGGGGCUAGCGUUGUUCGGAAUUACUGGGCGUAAAGAGCGUGUAGGCGGCUAGAUAAGUUAGGGGUGAAAUCCCGGAGCUCAACUUCGGAAUUGCCUUUGAUACUGUCUAGCUUGAGAUUGCGAGGGGAUAGCGGAAUACCCAGUGUAGAGGUGAAAUUCGU
Molecule: ribosomal RNA, 600 nt
Filed under: uncultured Alphaproteobacteria bacterium
Lineage: Bacteria; Pseudomonadati; Pseudomonadota; Alphaproteobacteria
Description: bacterial SSU rRNA
Rfam family: Bacterial small subunit ribosomal RNA
Source: RNAcentral